UGAAGAUCUUUGCCUGGAGAUUUGCCC
This 27-nucleotide non-coding RNA is filed under the name Mus musculus (house mouse). The record is from RNAcentral. Lineage: Eukaryota; Metazoa; Chordata; Mammalia; Rodentia; Muridae.